CCCACUUGUGCCCAACCGUCUGUCGAGAUCUCUGGGAAGUAGAGCUUUAGAAGACGUGGUGACUAAUAUAAUGGUUGGUGGUUAGACCGGUGAUAGAGGAAUUGGCCAGCUGUUUCUAUCUUUGGAAAGGUCGUAUGGAUUUCUUUUGGGCUGCCUUGGAUUUUGAUUACUGUGGAGUUGAGUUGGAUUUUCUAAAAAUGGGUUGUUGAUGGUGGUUGGCUGCAUGACACAAGGCUAUGUCGAUGAGGGAAAGUUUUGGAGAUUCGCGAAGAGGAAGGUUCCUUCGGUAGAGAACUUACGAUUUGCAUCGGAGCAGUUGGAGUGGGUACUGUGUGUACGGUGUUG
Molecule: long non-coding RNA, 345 nt
Filed under: Olea europaea (common olive)
Lineage: Eukaryota; Viridiplantae; Streptophyta; Magnoliopsida; Lamiales; Oleaceae
Description: long non-coding RNA (OEUR_LNC015113)
Source: RNAcentral